Molecule: ribosomal RNA, 270 nt
Filed under: Clostridioides difficile
Lineage: Bacteria; Bacillati; Bacillota; Clostridia; Peptostreptococcales; Peptostreptococcaceae
Description: partial 23S ribosomal RNA
Rfam family: Bacterial large subunit ribosomal RNA
Source: RNAcentral
CUUCCCAUACGGGUUGAAGCAUGACCGUAAGGACAUGUGGACAGUAUGGGAGUGAGAAUGUUGGCAUGAGUAGCGAGAUGUGGGUGAGAAUCCCACAGGCCGUAAACCCAAGGUUUCCAGGGGAAGGGUCGUCCGCCCUGGGUUAGUCGGGACCUAAGCUGAGGCCGAAAGGCGUAGGUGAUGGACAACAGGUUGAUAUUCCUGUACUACCGAUAACCGUUUGAGAGAAGGGAUGACACAGUAGGAUAAGCUAAGCACACUGUUGGUUAU